Molecule: ribosomal RNA, 496 nt
Filed under: uncultured bacterium
Lineage: Bacteria
Description: bacterial SSU rRNA
Rfam family: Bacterial small subunit ribosomal RNA
Source: RNAcentral
AUGGCUACAGAACGAACGCUGGCGGCGCGCCUAACACAUGCAAGUCGAACGAGAAUCCGGGGCAACCCGGUAGUAAAGUGGCAAACGGGUGAGGAAUACAUGGGUAACCUACCCUUGAGAAGGGAAUAACCCGCCGAAAGGUGAGCUAAUACCCUAUACGCUAUCUUUUUUUCGAAAAGGAUAGGAAAGCCGGGUCGAGGACCUGGUACUCAAGGAGGGGCUCAUGUCCUAUCAGCUUGUUGGUGGGGUAACGGCCUACCAAGGCUACGACGGGUAGCUGGUCUGAGAGGAUGAUCAGCCACACUGGCACUGAGAUACGGGCCAGACUCCUACGGGAGGCAGCAGUGAGGAAUAUUGCGCAAUCGGGCGAAAGCCUGACGCAGCGACGCCGCGUGGGGGAUGAAGGUUUUCGGAUUGUAAACCCCUUUCAUGAGGAAAGAUAAAGUGGGUAACCACUUAGACGGUACCUCAAGAAGAAGCCACGGCUAACUUCGUG